RNAcentral lists this ribosomal RNA (488 nucleotides) under uncultured bacterium. RNAcentral describes it as "partial 16S ribosomal RNA". It matches the Rfam family "Bacterial small subunit ribosomal RNA", at positions 28 to 507 of the family's 1533-position model. The record is from RNAcentral.
GACGAACGCUGGCGGCGUGCUUAACACAUGCAAGUCGAACGGACAGGCCCUGCUUUUGUGGGGUGCUCGAGUGGCGAACGGGUGAGUAACACGUGAGUAACCUGCCCUUGACUUUGGGAUAACUUCAGGAAACUGGGGCUAAUACCGGAUAGGAGCUCCUGCUGCAUGGUGGGGGUUGGAAAGUUUCGGCGGUUGGGGAUGUACUCGCGGGUUAUCAGCUUGUUGGGAAGGUAGCGGGUUACCAAGGCUUUGAUGGGUAGGCGACCUGUGAGGGUGAGCGGCCACACUGGAACUGAGGCACGGUCCAGACUCCUACGGGAGGCAGCAGUAGGGAAUCUUCCGCAAUGGGCGAAAGCCUGACGGAGCGACGCCGCGUGAGUGAUGAAGGUCUUCGGAUCGUAAAACUGUGUUAUUAGGGAAGAACAAAUGUGUAAGUAACUAUGCACGUCUUGACGGUACCGGAUCAGAAAGCCACGGCUAACUACGUG